Molecule: ribosomal RNA, 119 nt
Filed under: Pteropus alecto (black flying fox)
Lineage: Eukaryota; Metazoa; Chordata; Mammalia; Chiroptera; Pteropodidae
Source: RNAcentral
GUCUACAGCCAUGCCACCCUUAACAAACCCGAUCCUGUCUGAUAAUGGAAGCUAAGCAGGGUCGGGCCUUGUUAGUACUUGGAUGGGAGACCACCUAGGAAGACCAGGUGCUCUAGGCG